Molecule: ribosomal RNA, 488 nt
Filed under: Stutzerimonas stutzeri
Lineage: Bacteria; Pseudomonadati; Pseudomonadota; Gammaproteobacteria; Pseudomonadales; Pseudomonadaceae
Description: bacterial SSU rRNA
Rfam family: Bacterial small subunit ribosomal RNA
Source: RNAcentral
GGCCUAACACAUGCAGUCGAGCGGAUGAGUGGAGCUUGCUCCAUGAUUCAGCGGCGGACGGGUGAGUAAUGCCUAGGAAUCUGCCUGGUAGUGGGGGACAACGUUUCGAAAGGAACGCUAAUACCGCAUACGUCCUACGGGAGAAAGUGGGGGAUCUUCGGACCUCACGCUAUCAGAUGAGCCUAGGUCGGAUUAGCUAGUUGGUGAGGUAAAGGCUCACCAAGGCGACGAUCCGUAACUGGUCUGAGAGGAUGAUCAGUCACACUGGAACUGAGACACGGUCCAGACUCCUACGGGAGGCAGCAGUGGGGAAUAUUGGACAAUGGGCGAAAGCCUGAUCCAGCCAUGCCGCGUGUGUGAAGAAGGUCUUCGGAUUGUAAAGCACUUUAAGUUGGGAGGAAGGGCAGUAAGUUAAUACCUUGCUGUUUUGACGUUACCAACAGAAUAAGCACCGGCUAACUUCGUGCCAGCAGCGGCGGGUAAUAAAA